UCGGGAAUUUUGGGCAAUGGGCGAAAGCCUGACCCAGCAACGCCGCGUGAAGGAUGAAGUAUUUCGGUAUGUAAACUUCGAAAGAAUAGGAAGAAUAAAUGACGGUACUAUUUAUAAGCUCCGGCUAACUACGUGCCAGCAGCCGCGGUAAUACGUAGGGAGCAAGCGUUGUUCGGAUUUACUGGGCGUAAAGGGCGCGUAGGCGGCGCGGUAAGUCACUUGUGAAAUCUCUGAGCUUAACUCAGAACGGCCAAGUGAUACUGCAGUGCUAGAGUGCAGAAGGGGCAAUCGGAAUUCUUGGUGUAGCGGUGAAAUGCGUAGAUAUCAAGAGGAACACCUGAGGUGAAGACGGGUUGCUGGGCUGACACUGACGCUGAGGCGCGAAAGCUAGGGGAGCAAACGGGAUUAGAUACCCCUGUAGUCCCUGAGCGGGCUGGCAAGGCGCAU
This 447-nucleotide ribosomal RNA is filed under the name uncultured bacterium. RNAcentral describes it as "bacterial SSU rRNA". It matches the Rfam family "Bacterial small subunit ribosomal RNA", at positions 355 to 825 of the family's 1533-position model. The record is from RNAcentral.